This 22-nucleotide microRNA is filed under the name Euprymna scolopes. Its description in RNAcentral is "Esc-Mir-216-P2d_5p (mature (guide))". The record is from RNAcentral. Lineage: Eukaryota; Metazoa; Mollusca; Cephalopoda; Sepiida; Sepiolidae.
UAAUCUCAGCUAGUAAUUAUGA